AUUUUUGAAAUUCUGGAAUACUUCACAGAUAUAAAUUUACUUUAACAAUAUAAAGUCAACAUUCCUGUAAGUACAAUGUAGCAAUACUGCUAAAACAAUAUAAUAUCAAAAUCUUGUAUAUCAUAAUUCAUCAAAAUGACAAUGUAACAGUACUAAACAAAUUAUAAUAGCUCUGCCUGUGAUAUAUAUAUAAUAUACCUAUAACAUAUAAUAUACAAGAUUAUAAUAUCAACCAUAAUUUAAGUAUUCAACAUUGGCGAUACAAUACUAUAUUAUCAAAAGCACUUUAUACUGGAUCAUAAUAACACUAAGCAGUUAUGCCAGUACAGGAAAGAUACAAGAAGCUCAGGACAGCGAUAUAUACAGAAAAUGUACAUCAGACGCAGGUCAAAUCCUCAUCAACCAAGGAUACAAGUACCACCGGACAACCAAGGAUAUAAAGUAUCACCGGACAACCAAUGAUAUAAAGUACCACCCGACAACCAAGGAUAUAAAUAUCACCCGACAACCAAGGAAAUAAAUAUCACCGGACAACCAAGGAUAUAAAUAUCACCCGACAACCAAGGAUAUAAAGUACCACCCGACAACCAAGGAUAUAAAGUACCACCUGACAACCAAGGAUAUAAAGUACCACCUGACAACCAAGGAUAUAAAGUACCACUCGACAACCAAGGAUAUAAAGUACCACUCGACAACCAAGGAUAUAAAGUACCACCCGACAACCAAGGAUAUAAAGUACCACCCGACAACCAAGUAUAUAAAUAUCACCCGACAACCAAGGAUAUAAAUUAGCACCCGACAACCAGGGAUAUAAAGUAUCACCCGACAACCAAGGAUAUAAAUAUCACCCGACAACCAAGGAUAUAAAUAUCACCCGACAACCAAGGAUAUAAAUAUCACCCGACAACCAAGGAUAUAAAUAUCACCCGACAACCAAGGAUAUAAAGUAUCACCCGACAACCAAGGAUAUAAAGUACCACCCGACAACCAAGGAUAUAAAUAUCACCCGACAACCAAGGAUAUAAAGUACCACCCGACAACCAAGGAUAUAAAGUACCACCGGACAACCAAGGAUAUAAAGUAUCACCCGACAACCAAGGAUAUAAAUAUCACCGGACAACCAAGGAUAUAAAGUACCACCCGACAACCAAGGAUAUAAAGUACCACCCGACAACCAAGGAUAUAAAGUACCACCCGACAACCAAGGAUAUAAAUAUCACCCGACAACCAAGGAUAUAAAUAUCACUGGACAACCAAGGAUAUAAAUAUCACCCGACAACCAAGUAUAUAAAGUACCACCCGACAACCAAGGAUAUAAAGUACCACCGGACAACCAAGGAUAUAAAGUACCACCCGACAACCAAGGAUAUAAAUAUCACCCGACAACCAAGGAUAUAAAGUACCACCCGACAACCAAGGAUAUAAAGUACCACCCGACAACCAAGGAUAUAAAUAUCACCCGACAACCAAGGGUAUAAAUAUCACCGGACAACCAAGGAUAUAAAUAUCACCGGACAACCAAGGAUAUAAAGUACCACCCGACAACCAAGGAUAUAAAUAUCACCCGACAACCAAGGAUAUAAAGUACCACCCGACAACCAAGGAUAUAAAGUACCACCGGACAACCAAGGAUAUAAAGUACCACCCAACAACCAAGUAUAUAAAGUACCAUCCGACAACCAAGGAUAUAAAGUACCACCGGACAACCAAGGAUAUAAAUAUCACCCGACAACCAAGGAUAUAAAGUGCCACCCGACAACCAAGGAUAUAAAGUAUCACCCGACAACCAAGGAUAUAAAUAUCACCCGACAACCAAGGAUAUAAAUAUCACCCGACAACCAAGGAUAUAAAUACCACCAGACAACCAAGGAUAUAAAGUACCACCCGACAACCAAGGAUAUAAAGUAUCACCCGACAACCAAGGAUAUAAAGUACCACCCGACAACCAAGGAUAUAAAGUACCACCCGACAACCAAGGAUAUAAAGUACCACCCGACAACCAAGGAUAUAAAGUACCACCCGACAACCAAG
Long non-coding RNA from Pecten maximus, 2031 nucleotides. RefSeq lists it as uncharacterized. The transcript is spliced from 2 exons. Lineage: Eukaryota; Metazoa; Mollusca; Bivalvia; Pectinida; Pectinidae. The record is from RefSeq and is a predicted model, not a curated record.